CCUACGGGGGGCAGCAGUGGGGAAUAUUGGGCAAUGGAGGAAACUCUGACCCAGCGACGCCGCGUGCGGGAUGAAGGCCUUCGGGUUGUAAACCGCUUUCAGUAGGGAAGAAGCGAAAGUGACGGUACCUACAAAAGAAGCACCGGCUAACUAUGUGCCAGCAGCCGCGGUAAUACAUAGGGUGCAAGCGUUGUCCGGAAUUAUUGGGCGUAAAGAGCUCGUAGGUCGUUUGUUACGUCGGAUGUGAAAACCUGAGGCUCAACCUCAGGCCUGCAUUCGA
Molecule: ribosomal RNA, 280 nt
Filed under: uncultured bacterium
Lineage: Bacteria
Description: partial 16S ribosomal RNA
Rfam family: Bacterial small subunit ribosomal RNA
Source: RNAcentral